CCCGCUGAACUUAAGCAUAUCAAUAAGCGGAGGAAAAGAAACUAACAAGGAUUCCCCUAGUAACUGCGAGUGAAGCGGGAAAAGCUCAAAUUUAAAAUCUGGGGGUCCCUGUGGCCCUCCGAGUUGUAAUCUAGAGAAGUGCUAUCCGCGCUGGACCGUGUACAAGUCUCCUGGAACGGAGCGUCAUAGAGGGUGAGAAUCCCGUCUUUGACACGGACUACCAGGGCUUAUGUGAUGUGCUCUCAAAGAGUCGAGUUGUUUGGGAAUGCAGCUCUAAAUGGGUGGUAAAUUCCAUCUAAAGCUAAAUAUUGGCGAGAGACCGAUAGCGAACAAGUACCGUGAGGGAAAGAUGAAAAGAACUUUGGAAAGAGAGUUAAACAGUACGUGAAAUUGCUGAAAGGGAAACGCUUGAAGUCAGUCGCGUCAUCCAGGGAUCAACCUUGCUUUUGCUUGGUGCACUUCCUGGUUUGAUGGGUCAGCAUCAAUUUUGACCGUUGGAAAAAGGCUGAGGGAAUGUGGCAUCUUUGGAUGUGUUAUAGCCCUCUGUCACAUACAAUGGUUGGGAUUGAGGAACUCAGCACGCCGCAAGGCCGGGUUUUAAACCACGUACGUGCUUAGGAUGCUGGCAAUAUGGCUUUAAUCGACCCGUCUUGAAACACGG
RNAcentral lists this ribosomal RNA (661 nucleotides) under uncultured fungus. RNAcentral's name for it is "eukaryotic LSU rRNA". It matches the Rfam family "Eukaryotic large subunit ribosomal RNA", at positions 24 to 664 of the family's 3401-position model. The record is from RNAcentral. Lineage: Eukaryota; Fungi.